AACGAACGCUGGCGGCGUGCCUAACACAUGCAAGUCGAACGGAGAUAAGAAGCUUGCUUCUUAUUUUAGUGGCGCACGGGUGAGUAACGCGUGGAUAAUCUACCUGACGCUCUGGGAUAACAUCUCGAAAGGGGUGCUAAUACCGGAUAAGCCCACGAGACCUUCGGGUCAUGCGGGAAAAGGAGGGGACCUACGGGCCUUCCGACAUCAGAUGAGUCCGCGUCCCAUUAGCUAGUUGGCGGGGUAAUGGCCCACCAAGGCUACGAUGGGUAGCUGGUCUGAGAGAAUGACCAGCCACACUGGGGCUGAGACACUGCCCAGACUCCUACGGGAGGCUGCAGUCGAGAAUAUUUGGCAAUGGACGAAAGUCUGACCAUGCGACGCCGCGUGAAGGACGAAGGUCUUCGGGUUGUAAACUUCUGUUACAGGGGAAGAAUGCUUUAGGUGCAAAUAGUUCCUAAAGCUUGACGGUACCCUGAGAGAAAGCCACGGCUAACUCCGUGCCAGCAGCCGCCGUAA
Molecule: ribosomal RNA, 519 nt
Filed under: uncultured bacterium
Lineage: Bacteria
Description: partial 16S ribosomal RNA
Rfam family: Bacterial small subunit ribosomal RNA
Source: RNAcentral